This 310-nucleotide ribosomal RNA is filed under the name uncultured bacterium. Its description in RNAcentral is "partial 16S ribosomal RNA". It matches the Rfam family "Bacterial small subunit ribosomal RNA", at positions 503 to 807 of the family's 1533-position model. The record is from RNAcentral.
AAGAGACAGCAGCAGCCACGGUAAUACGUAGGGUGCGAGCGUUAAUCGGAAUUACUGGGCGUAAAGCGUGCGCAGGCGGUUCGUUAAGACAGAUGUGAAAUCCCCGGGCUUAACCUGGAAACUGCAUUUGUGACUGGCGAGCUAGAGUAUGGCAGAGGGGGGUAGAAUUCCACGUGUAGCAGUGAAAUGCGUAGAGAUGUGGAGGAAUACCGAUGGCGAAGGCGGCCCCCUGGGCCAAUACUGACGCUCAUGCACGAAAGCGUGGGGAGCAAACAGGAUUAGAUACCCCUGUAGUCCCUGUCUCUUAUAC